UGGGGGAUAUUGCACAAUGGGGGGAACCCUGAUGCAGCGACGCCGCGUGAGUGAAGAAGUAAUUCGUUAUGUAAAGCUCUAUCAGCAGGGAAGAAUAAAUGACGGUACCUGAGUAAGAAGCCCCGGCUAACUACGUGCCAGCAGCCGCGGUAAUACGUAGGGGGCAAGCGUUAUCCGGAUUUACUGGGUGUAAAGGGAGCGUAGACGGCGAUGCAAGCCAGAUGUGAAAGCCCGCGGCUCAACUGCGGUAGUGCAUUUGGAACUGUAUGGCUGGAGUGCAGGAGAGGCAGGCGGAAUUCCUAGUGUAGCGGUGAAAUGCGUAGAUAUUAGGAGGAACACCAGUGGCGAAGGCGGCCUGCUGGACUGUAACUGACGUUGAGGCUCGAAAGCGUGGGGAGCAAACAGG
This 406-nucleotide ribosomal RNA is filed under the name uncultured bacterium. RNAcentral's name for it is "bacterial SSU rRNA". It matches the Rfam family "Bacterial small subunit ribosomal RNA", at positions 355 to 776 of the family's 1533-position model. The record is from RNAcentral.